UUUAAAUGUUGACCAAUUGAUUAGUUGAAAGAACAGAUGACUCUCAGUCUACCAAGAUUAUAUAUUUUUUCUGGGACAGCCUACUUAGUAGAGAGACUAACAUGGGAAUUAAUUUCUGCAUGUUACCCACAAGCCCGCAGUGCUGAGUCAUUGUCUGGUGUGGCUAACGGACACAGCUGUUGAGCUGCUCACUGAUAAGUACUACUUGCGACAGAGGAUAGGCUAAACAACAGGUUUUCACAAAAGACUGGUGCUUGAAAACACCCAAUACAGCAUCGUAACACUUGUCUACAGACCACACGGAUUAAAAGAUUGCAUGACAGAGAUACUCACCAGUGUUGUCAACUGUAGCAUGGAGAAUCAGAAAGGCACAGGAACCUGACCAACAACGAGUGGGGGUAUUUCUCCAAGUGAUCCAUAUAUGCCAUCAGGUUGGAAAGAAGAAACUUCACCUCCCGCUUAUUCUGUGUCUUUAGGAAGAACCUCUUGUCAUUCCUUAAGGAGUAGGCCUCACGUGAGGAAGAAGUCAGCCUUGCUCUUGGAGUUGCUCAUGAACUGUAGAUAGCAGCAGUCUGAAGAGAGG
Long non-coding RNA from Salvelinus sp. IW2-2015, 583 nucleotides. RefSeq lists it as uncharacterized. NCBI's taxonomy places the organism in Eukaryota, Metazoa, Chordata, Actinopteri, Salmoniformes, Salmonidae. The record is from RefSeq and is a predicted model, not a curated record.